RNAcentral lists this ribosomal RNA (497 nucleotides) under uncultured bacterium. RNAcentral's name for it is "partial 16S ribosomal RNA". It matches the Rfam family "Bacterial small subunit ribosomal RNA", at positions 28 to 507 of the family's 1533-position model. The record is from RNAcentral.
GAUGAACGCUGGCGGCGUGCCUAAUACAUGCAAGUCGAGCGAACAGACGAGGAGCUUGCUCCUCUGACGUUAGCUGCGGACGGGUGAGUAACACGUGGAUAACCUACCUAUAAGACUGGGAUAACUUCGGGAAACCGUAGCUAAUACCGGAUAAUAUUUUGAACCGCAUGGUUCAAUAGUGAAAGACGGUCUUGCUGUCACUUAUAGAUGGAUCCGCGCCGCAUUAGCUAGUUGGUAAGGUAACGGCUUACCAAGGCAACGAUGCGUAGCCGACCUGAGAGGGUGAUCGGCCACACUGGAACUGAGACUCGGGCCAGACGCCGACGGGAGGCAGCAGUAGGGAAUCUUACGCAAUGGGCGAAAGCUUGACGGAGCAACGCCGCGUGAGUGAUGAAGGUCUUCGGAUCGUAAAACUCUGUUAUUAGGGAAGAACAAAUGUGUAAGUAACUAUGCACAUCUUGACGGUACCUAAUCAGAAAGCCACGGCUAACUACGUG